UCUCGCCUGAGUCUCCAUGGUGAUAUAAACACAGAUCAUUAUAAAAGAUAGAUGAAUUCCACUCGAGGUGGAAGUAAAUCAUAAGAGUGGAGAUAUGCGGUACAGCGAACCAGUCAAGGAAGUGUUUUCCCACCAUCACCAUGACCAUGAUAAUAAGCACCUCAGAUGUACAAACACGCACGUAUUAUUUGUGCGUAACUCAACCUAGCAUUAUUGCUAAUAGUUUUGGUAGCCCUGACCACGGAGGCUGUGGUCUGGUGCGCGAACGGUACUUGGGCAGUGUCGGGGAAGACAUAAAUAUGUUAUAAAGCGAUGUUAUGCAUUUCUUCUGGACCCUAGUAGAGAAGGAGCUCGCGCGCUCUGGCUUCCAACGGCCCGCCAACCGGCAUUUCGCGCCACUCUGGGGUCACGCGCCUCGCUGCUGGGAAAGCGCGAGCUGAAAACCGAAUCCUGUCAGCCGGGGAAAAACUGCGAAUAAAACCUCGCACAAAAGGGAAAAGAUGGGUUCUACCAGGAAGCUGAUCUUUUGCCCAGAAGUAUGGGCCUAAGGCAGUCACCUUUACAAUUCAUAUGGGAAAAGACUGACCAGGAAGAUGGUGCAUCCUGCAGUUUUACAACCUGGCACUAUGGCUUGCAGCUGCCCUCUGUGGUGGCAUGAAAAGUUUUGUUGCCAACGCAGUCCUCUGCAACUUUGUACAAGAAGCCAGGUGCCUCCCCCGUUCUGCCGUGUAAAAGGACAUAAGAAGAACAGCGAAUGUGCAAAAUCAAUACAGCUGCAACACAAAUUGGACCCCAAUGAGGACAUGUGAGUAUUUGAUAAUUAAGCAUAGCAAAUAGAUUGUUUCAGUGGGGAUAAAUCUGUCAGUAAUGAUUCAUGUUCCAUCAGUUGUCCAGUCUUUGGGAAAUGAAGCAUGCAGAUUGAAUAGAAAAUGUGGAGGUGUUGGGGGGGGGCAAGCACUUUCUCUACCCAAUGGGGGAAUCCAGGAAAGGCCACCAUCUAUUAGUGCUUGAGGUAUCCUGCUUUUGUUUAGAGUCACGUGCGGACAUGCUUUGCUGCAGGCCCAAAAAAUCACAUUAUGGCAGGUUGUGACCUUUCCAAAGCCCU
Molecule: long non-coding RNA, 1105 nt
Filed under: Scleropages formosus (Asian bonytongue)
Lineage: Eukaryota; Metazoa; Chordata; Actinopteri; Osteoglossiformes; Osteoglossidae
Description: lncRNA (ENSSFOG00015027743.1)
Source: RNAcentral